AGCAGCCGCGGCAAUUCCAGCUCCAAUAGCGUAUAUUAAAGUUGUUGCAGUUAAAAAGCUCGUAGUUGAACUUCGGGGUUUACCCAUUGGUCAGGCUUAAUUGUCUGUACUGGUGAGAUAAAUCUCUACCUUCUGAGGAACUUUCAUGUCAUUAAUUUGGUGUGAUUGGAAAUCAGGACUGUUACUUUGAAAAAUUAGAGUGUUUAAAGCAGGCUAACGUCUGAAUACAUUAGCAUGGAAUAAUGAAAUAGGACGGACUGAUUCUAUUUCGUUGGUUUCUAGGAUCACCGUAAUGAUUAAUAGGGAUAGUUGGGGGCAUUAGUAUUCAAUUGUCAGAGGUGAAAUUCUUGGAUUUAUUGAAGACUAACUACUGCGAAAGCAUUUGCCAAGGAUGUUUUCAUUAAUCAAGAACGAAAGUUAGGGGAUCGAAGACGAUCAGAUACCGUCGUAGUCUUAACCAUAAACUAUGCCGACUAGGGAUCGGACGAAGUUAAUUUAUAAUGACGUCGUUCGGCACCUU
This 520-nucleotide ribosomal RNA is filed under the name uncultured Glomeromycotina. RNAcentral describes it as "SSU rRNA". It matches the Rfam family "Eukaryotic small subunit ribosomal RNA", at positions 569 to 1089 of the family's 1831-position model. The record is from RNAcentral. Lineage: Eukaryota; Fungi; Glomeromycota.